Molecule: long non-coding RNA, 1103 nt
Organism: Acanthochromis polyacanthus (spiny chromis)
Lineage: Eukaryota; Metazoa; Chordata; Actinopteri; Pomacentridae
Exons: 3
Source: RefSeq, a predicted model, not a curated record
ACUUUUAAAUCUGUUUGACGUUCAAAAAUGCAUAUGCAUCACUAAGAAGAAGGAUUAAGGACAACGCUGGUUAACUGUUGGUGGAUUGUGAACAUCCAUUCAAAGGCAGUGACGUAUGACUAAUUAAAAUAUUUUACACAUCUUUAGUUGUCUGUAAAAACGGCCUCGCUGCAUCAAUCAAGUUGCUCCUUUCAGCUGUGAACUGUUGUGUGAAAGUCUUUAUUUACUCUACAGUUUACAGUUUUAAGCAGAUUUUAGAAAAGCAGAACUCUGCUGUUAGAAGGAUGAGACAUGUCUGUUUGUAACAGUGUAGAUUUCUGCACAUGAACACCGUCUGAAGUUGAAACUUAUUUGACUUUGUUUUGUGUUCUUAGUUAAGUUUAGCAGAAAUGGGGAACAGUCAGGUUUCCACGUCCUUCCAGGACUCUGGGGGUAUUCCUGAUGAACACGACUCAUCAGUGAAAAAACCUGAAACAGACUUAAAUAGGUCAAAGAGGGUCAAUAUUCUGACAGUCUGUCUCUGUGUCAGUGGCUGUUGGAGCUUCAGAAUAUCAGUCAGUGACAGCGAAGGUGGGCGAGGACGUCACUCUGGACGUUGAGGACACACAUCUGCAGCCAGAAGAUGACCUCAUCUGGUCUUAUGGUCCCAAUCACACCGUCUUCAUCACCUUCUGCAAUGGAGACCUGCAGAGAGAUUUUCCAGACAGGUUCCAGCUGGACCAAAGGACCGGAUCGCUCACCAUCAGAUCGCCGACCGUCGAGGACGCCCGACUUUAUGAGUGUGUGAUCAGCAACGAUCGCGGGCCGACAUGGAGAUUCAACCUGACGGUUGUUGCAGCUGAUCCCACCUCAACACCACCUGGACCUCCACAUGACAGGACUCACUGGAUAGUUGGUGUAUCUGGAUUCAUCUUCAUCUGUAUUCUGCUGCUGUUUGCAUGGAAGCUGAAGGAAGCCACAGGAAAAUGUUGUUCCCAUCCACCAGCUGUUGUCUGAAGUCCGUCGGUGAAGAAAAAAAUUCCUUCAGGUCCAGAGGAAACUGGAAGAUGGUGAUGAAGAUGAGGAUGAGGAUGAUGAUGAUGAUGCUGAUGAUGAUGAUGAUG